UGAGUCUGUUCCUGCACCAUCCAACGUUUCAAUUUUAAAUUCUAUUCGGAUCGAAAGUAUUCUCCAAUAUGGUAAUUGGUUGGCAAGUCAUGGCAACGAAAAAAGUUUCCGACUGGAAAACGGAAUUUACACGUGUCCAUCCGAAGCAACUAAAGAUGAAUCCCAGGAACUGGGAAUGAAAGCAGACCUCAUAUGAUUGGCACACUUGUGAUUGAAGUCAGAAGUAGCUACAAUAGCUUGAACGGAGACUCUCACCUCAAUUUAAAAGAAAAAAAGACAAACGGACGUCUCUGCUCUUUCAGACUUCACUCACCUCAUAAAGAAAGUGAUCAAAAGCCAAAAGCUGAUUGUAGUAGUACCUGAUAUUGUCAUCUCGGAAAUUGAUCCACUUAAAAGAGAAAGCGCUUCUGUUCGGGAAUGCAUUCGAUGGCUAGAAACCUGUUUCCGUACUGGCAAUCGCUUUAUUAGAGCACAGCGUCAAAACGAACACCAAGUCAUCCCAUUAUAUUGACUUAUCCUAAACGAAAAGAUAAAGCCAACUCUUGAGCACCUGAGCCAUCUCUCUUAAAAGUGCUGCUGACCUGCUGUUACCUGGAUACAAACCAGCAGAGAAACGUUUACAAAACUAGCCAGAAUUCGCCCUUUGUACUGUUUUUGUCUGGCAACUCAGCUGAAGACACGGAUGAACAAACUAGAGUGAUUUGUAAUUCGAUUGGUGUUGAACUUAAAACUGCAAAUUCGUUGGUGAAGAAAAGUAAGACGAAAAAGCGCUAAUACCGUCAUGUAUAACAUUGAAUUACGCAGCCGUAUGUGUUUUGAUUAUUUGCUUAUUGUAUUGUAAGAAAAAUAUUUUGUUUCUCACUCUUUCCGAGUUUUAAGCAUGGAUAAUACAGAAACAUCAAGAAGUAAACCGUAACUAAAAUAAUGAAGAAACCGCGAGGAAGUAACUUGUGUUAAAA
Daphnia pulicaria is the source of this 959-nucleotide long non-coding RNA. RefSeq lists it as uncharacterized. The record is from RefSeq and is a predicted model, not a curated record. Lineage: Eukaryota; Metazoa; Arthropoda; Branchiopoda; Diplostraca; Daphniidae. The transcript has 4 exons.